This 703-nucleotide ribosomal RNA is filed under the name Condica capensis. RNAcentral's name for it is "12S ribosomal RNA". The record is from RNAcentral. Lineage: Eukaryota; Metazoa; Arthropoda; Insecta; Lepidoptera; Noctuidae.
AUAAUAAUUUAUUUAAAUUUAUAGUAAUUAAUAUUAAAUUAUUUAAGAAAUUAAGAUUUAGUAAUAUUUUAAUUAAUAACAAAUUUUGUGCCAGCAGUUGCGGUUAAACAAAAGUUAAAUUAAAUUUUUUUUAAUAAUAAUAAAUAAUUUAAUAUUAAUAAAUUAAAAAUUAAAUUAUUAAGUGAAAUUUUAAUUUAAUAAAAUUUUAUUUAUAAAUUUAUGAUUUAAUAAAUUUUAUAUAAAACUAGGAUUAGAUACCCUAUUAUAAAAAUUUAAAUUUAAAAUAUUAAAAUAGUAAAUAAUUAUUUAUUGAAACUUAAAUAAUUUGGCGGUAUUUUAGUUUAUUUAGAGGAAUCUGUUUAGUAAUUGAUAAUCCACGAAUAAAUUUACUUAAUUUUUAAUUUUGUAUAUCGUUGUUAAAAAAAUAUUUUUGAAUAAUUUAUAAUAUUUAAAAAUUAUAAUUUAAAUUAAAUCAGAUCAAGAUGCAGAUUAUAAUUAAGAAUAUAAUGGAUUACAAUAAAUUUUAUUUAAAUGGAUAUUAAUUUGUAAAAAUUAAUUGAAAGUGGAUUUAAAUGUAAUUUUAUUUAAUUUAAUAAAAUGAUUAAAAAUUAAAAUAUGUACAUAUUGCCCGUCGCUUUCAUAUAUUAUAAGUUGGAAUAAGUCGUAACAAAGUAGAGGUACUGGAAAGUGUUUCUAGAAAGAU